CGGCGUGGAUUAGGCAUGCAAGUCGUGCGAGAAUCGCUUUCGGGCGAGGACAGCGGCGAAAGGGAGAGUAACGGGUGGUUACAUACCCUCAGGCUCGGGAUAGUGUCGGGAAACUGACAGUAAUACCGAAUAAUAUCUAAGGAUCAAAGGUGUGAUUCCGCCUGAGGAUUGGACCGCUUUCUAUUAGCUUGUUGGCGGGGUAAUGGCCCACCAAGGCUUAGAUGGAUACCGGGUGUGAGAGCAUGGCCCGGCUCACUGGGACUGAGACACUGCCCAGACACCUACGGGUGGCUGCAGUCGAGAAUCUUCGGCAAUGGGCGAAAGCCUGACCGAGCGACGCCGCGUGCGGGAUGAAGGCCUUCGGGUUGUAAACCGCUGUCAGUUGGGAGGAAAUAUUAGGGGGUACUCCCCUUAAUUUGACCGAUCUUCAGAGGAAGGACGGGCUAAGUUCGUGCCAGCAGCCGCGGUAAGACGAACCGUCCGAACGUUAUUCGGUAUUACUGGGCUUAAAGAGUUCGUAGGCGGCUCUGUAGGUGAGAUGUGAAAGCCCUCGGCUCAACCGAGGAACAGCGUUUCAAACCACAGGGCUUGAGGAUGGCAGGGGUAGUGGGAACUGAUGGUGGAGCGGUGAAAUGCGUUGAUAUCAUCAGGAACACCGGUGGCGAAAGCGCACUACUGGGCCAUUUCUGACGCUGA
RNAcentral lists this ribosomal RNA (696 nucleotides) under uncultured organism. RNAcentral describes it as "bacterial SSU rRNA". It matches the Rfam family "Bacterial small subunit ribosomal RNA", at positions 40 to 749 of the family's 1533-position model. The record is from RNAcentral.